UGGUGGAGUGAUUUGUCUGGUUAAUUCCGUUAACGAACGAGACCUUAGCCUGCUAACUAGUCGACCCAAUCUGUAUUGGGACCCGACUUCUUAGAGGGACUUUGUGGCUAUAAACGCAAGGAAGUUUGAGGCAAUAACA
RNAcentral lists this ribosomal RNA (139 nucleotides) under uncultured eukaryote. Its description in RNAcentral is "partial 18S ribosomal RNA". It matches the Rfam family "Eukaryotic small subunit ribosomal RNA", at positions 1299 to 1458 of the family's 1831-position model. The record is from RNAcentral.